CCUACGGGGAGCAGCAGUGGGGAAUAUUGGACAAUGGGCGAAAGCCUGAUCCAGCCAUGCCGCGUGUGUGAAGAAGGCCUUCGGGUUGUAAAGCACUUUCAGUGGGGAAGAAAGCCUUGGGGCUAAUACCCUCGAGGAAGGACAUCACCCACAGAAGAAGCACCGGCUAACUCCGUGCCAGCAGCCGCGGUAAUACGGAGGGUGCGAGCGUUAAUCGGAAUUACUGGGCGUAAAGCGCGCGUAGGCGGUCUAAUAAGCCGGUUGUGAAAGCCCCGGGCUCAACCUGGGAACGGCAUCCGGAACUGUCAGGCUAGAGUGCAGGAGAGGAAGGUAGAAUUCCCGGUGUAGCGGUGAAAUGCGUAGAGAUCGGGAGGAAUACCAGUGGCGAAGGCGGCCUUCUGGACUGACACUGACGCUGAGGUGCGAAAGCGUGGGUAGCAAACAGGAUUAGAUACCCGAGUAGUC
This 465-nucleotide ribosomal RNA is filed under the name Vreelandella stevensii. RNAcentral describes it as "partial 16S ribosomal RNA". It matches the Rfam family "Bacterial small subunit ribosomal RNA", at positions 338 to 795 of the family's 1533-position model. Lineage: Bacteria; Pseudomonadati; Pseudomonadota; Gammaproteobacteria; Oceanospirillales; Halomonadaceae. The record is from RNAcentral.